UAGAUAAAAAGGAAGAAAAUGUCUAUAAUUCCCUAGAUACCCCUUCGUUUUGGCCGGCUUCUCAUCUUCUUCUUUUUUCUUGGAGAGUAAUCUACCCCCAUUUGGGGAUUCUAGGGUUUCAUGGAGGCCCGGAGAACGCCGCGCGAGCGGGAUUCGGAAUCAUCUAUAGGAUACGCCUUGAGAAUUUCAUGCGCCAUAGCUGUCUGACGAUCGAGCUACACGACUAGGUGGGAGUGCGAUUCUGACGGUGUUACGCCUAUUGUUUGGUUCCCAAACCAAGGGCACGCGGCUUCGUCUCUCAAAAAUUUCAUCAAGAAUGGUUGUAAGUAAUUUUAGAUACUAAGAACUUAUCUUGCUUUGGUCUUUGUGAAUUUGUUGGAUAAUUUCUUUUGGUGAUUUUUCAAUACUUGUGAGCUUAUUAUGGAUUUCAUUUUGCAAUUAGAACCUUAACAAGAAUUCAUCUUCUUUAACAAAAAUUUAUAUGUUGGAAUGCCUUUUGGAAUGGUUGAUUUUAUGGAGAAUCACUCUUGCAAUGCAUUUGUUAUUGUUGUAUUGGUUGGGAUGCUCCUGAAGUGGGGAAGGUCAAACAUGGGCUUCUCUUGGUAGCCAUUGAAGUGAUUUCUCUUGAAUUGUUCUUCGAGUAAUGCUGCUAUUUUUGUGGAAAUAAAACACCAAGGGGAAGAGGCUUUCAAGCAUGAAACUUAUGGUAAUCUAAUAAUACUUAAGUGCAAGAUCACAGAGAGUACUAGCGGCAUUGAUUUGAAGGACUGUCAAGGUUGUUGGAAAUGUUUUACUUUAGUUUUUUUCUUACAUGUUUCGAUGCCUUAUAGUUAAUUUUGUUGUUUUAUGGCUUUCUCAAGGAGGAAAGUUGCGACUGAGCUUGUGGAACAUUUUAAUAAGUACCUUUAUCGCAUGGGCCUUGCUGUCAAUGCAGAUCAUGUAAUUUGAUAAAGAGUUCAAGUAUGAGAUAAAUAUUGAAGAAUGGAGGAAAUAAUCUCAAGCAGGAGUUUCCAGAGAUGUAUCAUUUGUAUAUACAAGGGUAUAUUCUUUUUCCCACCAUGUUUGUUUUGUAACUUAGACUGUGGACAUUUUCCCUUUACCUAUAUUGAAAAUGCAUUUUACAUUGUAGCUCACUUAAAAAGUGUUAUUUAAAGUGAGAAAGACGCUCAGGAAAGGCGAGGCCCUAACACCUUAACACCCUCAGGGCGAGGCGCCGUAAAUGAGGCAAGCCCAGGCAAGCGCUUUAUGCCGAGCGCCAACCAUAAAAAAGCACGCCUGU
This is a long non-coding RNA of Dioscorea cayenensis subsp. rotundata (Guinea yam), 1279 nucleotides long. RefSeq lists it as uncharacterized. The record is from RefSeq and is a predicted model, not a curated record. NCBI's taxonomy places the organism in Eukaryota, Viridiplantae, Streptophyta, Magnoliopsida, Dioscoreales, Dioscoreaceae. The transcript has 4 exons.